GAGAGAUCGCUUUCCACUGAAAUGUACCGAGGAAAGGCUAUGUGAGGACAUAGCCCAGAAGAGGCCCUCACCAGAGCCCAGCUAUGCUGGCACCCUGACCUCCUGCUCCAGCCUCCAGACUGUGAGGAAAUACGUUUCCAUGGUUGAAGCCACCCAGUCUAUGACUCAGAUACAAGCCCAUCAAGGCAGUGAGGUUGACAUCUUUUUUUCUGACUUGUCUGCAAACCCGUCAUGAGGAUUGUUGCACAGUCAUGUUUGGGUAAUGCCACGUACAGUCUUUCCUUCUUAGGCAAUUAUAUUAGCAGUUAAAGGCUCUGAGAAGUUUUGCAAUGAAGAUGCUGUCAUAAGUUUGUCUAAUUCAGCAUUUGACAACAGAACUGAUUUUCCUAGCAACAUUUUGGUCCAGAGAGAAGGUGAUGCAAGAUGCAGAAAUGACUGAGAGUAUGGUGAGCACUUGUUCACUACGCCAGAAAUAAAAGAUCAUUGAAGUGAGAUUGAUUAAAACUACAAUCAAUAAAAGAUCAUUGAAGUGAAA
This is a long non-coding RNA of Homo sapiens (human), 535 nucleotides long. NCBI's taxonomy places the organism in Eukaryota, Metazoa, Chordata, Mammalia, Primates, Hominidae. The record is from Ensembl.